This 433-nucleotide ribosomal RNA is filed under the name uncultured bacterium. Its description in RNAcentral is "partial 16S ribosomal RNA". It matches the Rfam family "Bacterial small subunit ribosomal RNA", at positions 29 to 507 of the family's 1533-position model. The record is from RNAcentral.
AACGAACGCUGGCGGCAUGCCUAACACAUGCAAGUCGAACGAGACCUCCGGGUCUAGUGGCGCACGGGUGCGUAACGCGUGGGAACCUGCCCGUAGGUUCGGAAUAACUCCCUGUAAGGGGUGCUAAUAACGGAUAAUGUCUUCGGACCAAAGAUCUAUCGCCGUUGGAUGGGGGCGCGUUGGAUUAGCUUGUUGGUAGGGUAAAAGCCUACCAAGGCGACGUUCCAUAGCUGGUCAGAGAGAAAGAGCAGCCACACUGGGACUGAGACACGGUCCAGACUCCUACGCGAGGGGGCAGAGGGGAAUAUAGGACAAUGGGCGAAGGCCUGAACCAGCAAUGCCGGGUAAGUGAUGAAGGCCGUAGAGAAGUAAAGCUCUUUUACCCGGGAUGAUAAUGACGGUACCGGGAGAAUAAGCUCCGGCUAACUCCGUG